UAGCUCAGUCAGUUAGAGCGUGGUGCUGAUAGUACCAAGGCCGCGGGUUCGAUCCCCGC
This 59-nucleotide transfer RNA is filed under the name Apaloderma vittatum (bar-tailed trogon). It matches the Rfam family "tRNA", at positions 8 to 63 of the family's 71-position model. From Rfam's summary of the family: Transfer RNA (tRNA) molecules are approximately 80 nucleotides in length. Their secondary structure includes four short double-helical elements and three loops (D, anti-codon, and T loops). Lineage: Eukaryota; Metazoa; Chordata; Aves; Trogoniformes; Trogonidae. The record is from Rfam by way of RNAcentral.